Molecule: long non-coding RNA, 543 nt
Filed under: Setaria viridis
Lineage: Eukaryota; Viridiplantae; Streptophyta; Magnoliopsida; Poales; Poaceae
Description: long non-coding RNA (SVIR_LNC004473)
Source: RNAcentral
UCAAAGAAAACAGCACCAUCGGAUGUUCCGAUGGCCCCUAGAAAGGCGUCGGAGUAAUCGACGGAGGUUUUGGUAGUAUGCGGAAGAAAAUAGGCAAAGUCAACCAUCGGAUGUUCCUGUAAAAACUCUGCCUUAAUUAGGUGUAAUUAAACAUAAACAAGUCUUUGGUCACUAAGCAAAAGAGGUAAAAUGUCCUUUUUGACCCUAAGAAGCUCUUUUCGGAGUUAAAUAUAAAACUUGAGUUUUUAUAUACAAACUUGAAAUUUUGCCCAAAUAAGAGUUGUAAAACUUUUAAUUUCAAACAACUUUUGUUAAAGACGCUUUGGCUAAUUCGGAGUGGGAGAAGGUCAAAAACAAGAAUCAAAACAGGAGUAUUAUAGAACCCUACAAACAACCUAAGUCCUGGAAUUCAAGUUUUUCUUCGACUUUGGAACCUGUUAUCUCACAAGUUCACAUCUAACCUCGAGUCAGACCUUUAAUAAAAACUGUAGUCCCUUGAGUGUGUUCCCAACUUUGUUACACUGACCUAGGUCUAAAUCAUAA